Molecule: ribosomal RNA, 278 nt
Filed under: Clostridioides difficile
Lineage: Bacteria; Bacillati; Bacillota; Clostridia; Peptostreptococcales; Peptostreptococcaceae
Description: partial 23S ribosomal RNA
Rfam family: Bacterial large subunit ribosomal RNA
Source: RNAcentral
UGAAAAUCGGACUUAGUGAUCCGGUGGUUCGGCGUGGAAGGGCCAUCGCUCAACGGAUAAAAGCUACCCUGGGGAUAACAGGCUUAUCUCCCCCAAGAGUCCACAUCGACGGGGAGGUUUGGCACCUCGAUGUCGGCUCAUCCCAUCCUGGGGCUGUAGUAGGUCCCAAGGGUUGGGCUGUUCGCCCAUUAAAGUGGUACGCGAGCUGUGUUCAGAACGUCGUGAGACAGUUCGGUCCCUAUCCGUCGCAGGCGUAGGAAAUUUGAGAAGACCUGUCC